RNAcentral lists this long non-coding RNA (1767 nucleotides) under Struthio camelus australis. RNAcentral describes it as "lncRNA (ENSSCUG00000007626.1)". Lineage: Eukaryota; Metazoa; Chordata; Aves; Struthioniformes; Struthionidae. The record is from RNAcentral.
CUCUAGAGAGGCCAGUGCCCCAGGGUGGGUAUAGCUCCUUGGGAGCUGAGGAGUUGCUGAGCUUUGGGCUGUGAACACCUGCCUGAGCGCUGCUUUGUCAGGAUCCAGCUGGACCUCCGGCCUCCCUGCAUCCCCUCGAUGCAGAGCAUAAGUUGCAGGUAUCGUCUGCCAUUGCUGCUAUCUUACUGGCAGCAUUAUGAAAGAUACCAUUUCAGUGAACAGCUGCAGAGCAGGGGCGCGGAUCUGACUCUGGUUAGCACAGCACGAGAACAGAAGGUGCGGGGUCUUUCUCUGGAGGGUAGAGAGGACUGCAGGGAUCUGAAACGAGAUGACAGACUGCUGCUCUCCUCCGAAACACCUGCCUGCUUGGAGCCAAGAACACACUGCAGCUCUUCAGCAAGCCCCUGUAGCUCAUACAGCACAGGAUGUAGAGAUAUGUAACAGACAUACUGAGAUUGGUACAGAUGGAAAUGUGUGUCUGAAAGCACCAGAAGAAACAACGGAGCAAGGUGACAAAGCUACACCAUGGUGGAAGGGCCAUUCCUCUUCCUGUUAUCUCUACAGUAAGACAGACCAUAAUUGCCAAGAUACGAGAAAUGAAGAAGCAAAUAGAAUGGGCAGCAGCCUUGUUUAAGAUUCAUGGAGGAUGAAGUAAACAAGCUUCUGAGGCAAAAGCAUCACCCCAUAACAAUUUUUGACUUCCAAAUGGUACAAAAAACUGCCCCAAACCCAGUUUAUUGCUACCAAUCCAAAGGAAUCCAAGAAAUGUAGUGAAGACCUGACAGCCAGUUGUCCAUUGCCCUUUAUACUACCUACAGGCAAUCCUGGACAAAUUGCUUGGGGUGCACACAUCUUAGUACUUGUAAAUAUGUGGGCAUGAGAGUAUGAAUGGGUAGAAUCAACUUAUUUAGAAGCUUGUAAAUUACAAUCGUGUUCUGCCUGCAUAACAUCUUGUAUUGCCUUUGGUUCCUACAAGGACAUGUAUCUUUCAUCAUGCAAUACUGUGUUAUGAACUUAUUAAUGGGUUUGCCUUUGUUUAGCAGCAUGGCUCAGAAAUUCUUUCUGAUUCUGUUCUCACAAUACUUCCUUCAGCAUUUUCAAAUUCAGGUAAUUGUGGGAGAAUGUUGGAGGAUUUCCAAUAUAUACAGCAAGAUAAACUUAGCUAAUGGAUAUAAAAGUGGAAUCUGGUAAAUCUGGAUGGAAAUGUAUGGCAUGAUUGCUUAUGACAGAGUAAGGGCUACUCCUGGUCACUGUGGUGGUCUCUUGCAAAUCAAGAUCCUGUAUUGCUCCAACCAUUGUGAACGAUAUUGUCAUAUAGCUGUGUAUGGCAGAAUUGCUGUAUGAAUAGCUGAGGACAUAAACUCAUGUCAGCUUUAGGCAUUGCCCUCCGCCAGGCCAGAUAACUUGAGUUAAAAGCUGCACUACAAUUAGAGCUAUGCAUUCUUCUGUGAACAAUUUUAAGGCAACACUCAGUAAAGCAAAGCACAGAAGAGUUUGGUUAGAGGGGGCACAGCCACUUGGUGUCACUUGGUUGUCCAGAAGGGAUAGAGAUGAUACUGUUACAAGAUAUGCUACCUAUCUAUUUUUCUGACGUAGCCUCUAUUUAAGAUGAAAAGAUUGCACCUGAUUUUAGUUUAUGGGAAGUAUAAAUCUCACAUUUUAAAGCUAAUUGUUUAUUUCAUUUUUCUCUGCUUUUUCGAAACAAGAAGUACCUUCAUCUGCAUGUCCCUAAAUAAAGGAACACCCCUUAACCUUUAACGAAAGGUA